RNAcentral lists this ribosomal RNA (253 nucleotides) under uncultured bacterium. Its description in RNAcentral is "partial 16S ribosomal RNA". It matches the Rfam family "Bacterial small subunit ribosomal RNA", at positions 524 to 776 of the family's 1533-position model. The record is from RNAcentral.
GACGUAGGGCGCGAGCGUUGUCCGGAUUUAUUGGGCGUAAAGAGCGCGUAGGCGGUUUGGAGCGUCGGCCGUGAAAACUUGGGGCUUAACCCCAAGCUUGCGGUCGAUACGGGCAGACUUGAGUUCGGCAGGGGAGACUGGAAUUCCUGGUGUAGCGGUGAAAUGCGCAGAUAUCAGGAGGAACACCGGUGGCGAAGGCGGGGCUCUGGGCCGAUACUGACGCUGAGGAGCGAAAGCGUGGGGAGCGAACAGG